RNAcentral lists this small nuclear RNA (107 nucleotides) under Vulpes vulpes (red fox). Lineage: Eukaryota; Metazoa; Chordata; Mammalia; Carnivora; Canidae. The record is from RNAcentral.
GUGCUUGCUUCAGCAGCACAUAUACUAAAAUUGGAAUGAUACAGAGAAGUUUAGUAUGGCCCCUGCACAAGGAUGACACACAAAUUCAUGAAAUGUUCCAUAUUUUU